CCUACGGGAGGCAGCAGUGGGGGAUAUUGCACAAUGGGGGAAACCCUGAUGCAGCGACGCCGCGUGGGUGAAGAAGGGCCUCGGCGCGUAAAGCCCUGUCAGCAGGGAAGAAAAUGACGGCACCUGAAGAAGAAGCCCCGGCUAACUACGAGACAGCAGCCGCGGUAAUACGUAGGGGGCAAGCGUUAUCCGGAUUUACUGGGGGUAAAGGGGGCGCAGACGGGGAUGCAAGACAGGAGUGAAAGCUCGGGGCCCAACCCCAGGACUGCUCUUGGAACUGGGUGGCUAGAGUGCAGGAGGGGCAGGCGGAAUUCCUGGUGUAGCGGUGAAAUGCGUAGAUAUCACGAGGAACCCCGGUGGCGAAGGCAGCCUGCUGGACUGCAACUGACGUUGAGGCCCGAAAGCGUGGGGAGCAAACAGGAUUAGAUACCCUUGUAGUC
Molecule: ribosomal RNA, 440 nt
Filed under: uncultured bacterium
Lineage: Bacteria
Description: partial 16S ribosomal RNA
Rfam family: Bacterial small subunit ribosomal RNA
Source: RNAcentral